AUUGAACGCUGGCGGCAUGCUUUACACAUGCAAGUCGAACGGCAGCGCGGGCUUCGGCCUGGCGGCGAGUGGCGAACGGGUGAGUAAUGCAUCGGAACGUGCCCAGUAGUGGGGGAUAGCCCGGCGAAAGCCGGAUUAAUACCGCAUACGACCUGAGGGUGAAAGCGGGGGACCGAAAGGCCUCGCGCUAUUGGAGCGGCCGAUGUCGGAUUAGCUAGUUGGUGGGGUAAAGGCUUACCAAGGCGACGAUCCGUAGCUGGUCUGAGAAGACGACCAGCCACACUGGGACUGAGACACGGCCCAGGCUCCUACGGGAGGCAGCAGUGGGGAAUUUUGGACAAUGGGGGCAACCCUGAUCCAGCCAUGCCGCGUGCGGGAAGAAGGCCUUCGGGUUGUAAACCGCUUUUGUUCGGGAAGAAAUCCUCUGGGCUAAUACCCCGGGGGGAUGACGGUACCGGAAGAAUAAGCACCGGCUAACUACGUG
This 484-nucleotide ribosomal RNA is filed under the name uncultured bacterium. RNAcentral's name for it is "partial 16S ribosomal RNA". It matches the Rfam family "Bacterial small subunit ribosomal RNA", at positions 28 to 507 of the family's 1533-position model. The record is from RNAcentral.